GCCCUCAUAGCUCGAAUCGGUAGAGCGAGCGACUCUUAAGCAGUAACCUUGGUUACGACUUUAAUCGCUAGGUUGUGGGUUCGAGCCCCACUGAAGGCU
This 99-nucleotide transfer RNA is filed under the name Papiliotrema laurentii. RNAcentral describes it as "tRNA-Lys". It matches the Rfam family "tRNA". Rfam says of the family: Transfer RNA (tRNA) molecules are approximately 80 nucleotides in length. Their secondary structure includes four short double-helical elements and three loops (D, anti-codon, and T loops). Lineage: Eukaryota; Fungi; Basidiomycota; Tremellomycetes; Tremellales; Rhynchogastremaceae. The record is from RNAcentral.